CCCUUAGAUGUUCUGGGCUGCACGCGUGCUACACUGAUAUUGCCAAUAUGUCAUUCUUAUCCGAAAUGGAUUGGGUAAUCAAGUAAUGAAAUUUCAUGCUUGGAAUCGGUAAUUGCAAUUUUAUCGUGAACGAGGAAUUCCUAGUAAGCACCAGUCAUCAGCUAAUGUUGAUUAUGUCCCUGCCCUUUGUACACACCGCCCGUCGCUACUACUGAUUGGGUGUUCAAGUGAGAUGCUUAGACCCUUGUUGCAUGGUUCAUUAUUGUGCUCCGAAAGGAAAAAGUUUCAAGCUUGAGUGUCUAGAGGAAGUAAAAGUCGUAACA
This 323-nucleotide ribosomal RNA is filed under the name uncultured eukaryote. RNAcentral's name for it is "partial 18S ribosomal RNA". It matches the Rfam family "Eukaryotic small subunit ribosomal RNA", at positions 1470 to 1796 of the family's 1831-position model. The record is from RNAcentral.